This 333-nucleotide ribosomal RNA is filed under the name uncultured bacterium. RNAcentral's name for it is "bacterial SSU rRNA". It matches the Rfam family "Bacterial small subunit ribosomal RNA", at positions 568 to 898 of the family's 1533-position model. The record is from RNAcentral.
CGUGUAGGCGGUUGGUCAAGUCGGGUGUGAAAGCCUAGGGGCUCAGCCCAGGAAGUGCAUCCGAAACUAGCCAGCUAGAGCGCGAUAGAGGAGGGUGGAAUUCCUGGUGUAGCGGUGAAAUGCGUAGAUAUCAGGAGGAACACCGGCGGCGAAGGCGGCCCUCUGGAUCGUUGCUGACGCUGAGACGCGAAAGCGUGGGGAGCAAACAGGAUUAGAUACCCUGGUAGUCCACGCCUUAAACGAUGGGUACUAGGUGUUCGGGGUGUUGACCCCCUGAGUGCCGCAGUUAACGCAUUAAGUACCCCGCCUGGGGACUACGGCCGCAAGGUUAAA